This 306-nucleotide unclassified non-coding RNA is filed under the name Mycoplasmopsis opalescens. Its description in RNAcentral is "Mycoplasma opalescens intergenic spacer". Lineage: Bacteria; Bacillati; Mycoplasmatota; Mycoplasmoidales; Metamycoplasmataceae. The record is from RNAcentral.
CUACGGAGUACAAAAAUCAUUAUUUUUAAUGAUUAUUAACCUUUUUUACUAGACCUUAUUUAUUUGUUAUGUGCUUUGUUUUUAUGGUCUACAAAGCUUAUAUCUAGUUUUGAGAGAGCAUUCUCUCUUUGUUCUUUGAAAACUGAAUAGUAAAUUUUAAAAUAUUUACAACGACAUCAAUAAUUAAUUGAUUUAGGUCAAUUUGUUUUGAUUCAUCGAGAUAAAAAACAAUCAUAAAUUUUUGAUUCAUUGAAAUGUCUUAAAAUACACAUCAUAAUGUAACCAAUACAAUAGGAUAAAUACUUA